GCCAGACUCCUACGGGAGGCAGCAGUGGGGAAUAUUGCACAAUGGGGGAAACCCUGAUGCAGCGACGCCGCGUGAGUGAAGAAGUAUCUCGGUACGUAAAGCUCUAUCAGCAGGGAAGAAAAAAAGUCCUUCGGACUUUGGACGGUACCUGAUUAAGAAGCCCCGGCUAACUACGUGCCAGCAGCCGCGGUAAUACGUAGGGGGCAAGCGUUAUCCGGAUUUACUGGGUGUAAAGGGAGCGUAGACGGCAGCGCAAGUCUGGAGUGAAAUGCCGGGGCCCAACCCCGGAACUGCUUUGGAAACUGUGCAGCUCGAGUGCAGGAGAGGUAAGCGGAAUUCCUAGUGUAGCGGUGAAAUGCGUAGAUAUUAGGAGGAACACCAGUGGCGAAGGCGACUAUCUGGCACAUAACUGACGCUGAGGAGCGAAAGCGUGGGUAGCAAACAGGAUUAGAUACCCGAGUAAU
Molecule: ribosomal RNA, 464 nt
Filed under: uncultured bacterium
Lineage: Bacteria
Description: bacterial SSU rRNA
Rfam family: Bacterial small subunit ribosomal RNA
Source: RNAcentral